This 1881-nucleotide ribosomal RNA is filed under the name Triticum aestivum (bread wheat). Its description in RNAcentral is "partial small subunit ribosomal RNA". The record is from RNAcentral. Lineage: Eukaryota; Viridiplantae; Streptophyta; Magnoliopsida; Poales; Poaceae.
AUGGCCGCGCUGCAGAGCCCGCUGCUCGGCGGCGCCGGCGUGUCGCCGGACGCGAGCUCUCCGCGCCGCAGGGUCCGCCGUCCGUGCGCCGCGCUGGGCAUCGCCGUGGCGCUGCUCGCCCUGGCCGGCGUCCUGCUCCUGCUCCUGGGCUCCGGCGUCCAGCCCGGUCGGGGCUCGAGGGCGUCCGUAGGCGCAGCGCGGGAGAGCCGGCACGAGGUGGAGUCCGGCGCGGCCGCGGUGGCCGCGGACGACGGGCGGUGCUCGGAGGUGGGCGCCGCGGCGCUGCGGGCCGGCGGGCACGCCGUGGACGCGGCCGUGGCGGCGGCGCUGUGCCUCGGCGUGGUGCACCCGAUGUCGAGCGGCCUGGGCGGCGGCGCGUUCAUCGUGGUGAGGGACGCGGCCUCCGGCGACGCCGUCGCCUUCGACGCCCGCGAGACGGCGCCGGCAGCGGCCACGCCGACCAUGUACGCCGCCGACCCGACGACCAAGUUCAAGGGCGCGCUCGCCAUGGGCGUGCCGGGGGAGCUCGCCGGCCUGCACGCCGCGUGGGCGCGCUACGGCCGGCUGCCGUGGAAGUCCCUCUUCGCGCCGGCGAUCGCGCUCGCGCGCGACGGCUACACCAUCGUGUCAUACGUGGCCAAUGCGCUGAAAGACGAGGAGGUCGACGUGCUGGCCGACCCCGGCCUGCGCGCCGUGUUCGCGCCCGGCGGGCGGCUCCUGCGCGACGGCGAGCUCUGCCGCAACCCGGCGCUGGCGGACGUGCUGGAGGCCGUUGCGGAGGAGGGGGUCGCCGCGUUCUAUGGCGGCGCCGUCGGGGAGAGGCUCGCGGAGGACGUGAGGCGGGCGGGGGGCAUCGUGACGGCGGAGGACCUGAAGGGGUACAGGGUGGGGGUGAGCAAGGCCAUGGAAGCUGACGCCAUGGGGUUCACCUUCCUCGGCAUGCCGCCUCCGUCCAGCGGCACCGUCGGCCUGGCGUUGGUGCUGAACGUGUUGGGUGGGUACAAGUCGACGGAGUUCUUGAAGGGGUUCCUCGGCGUGCACCGGCUGAUCGAGGCGGUGAAGCACAUGCUGGCCGUGCGGAUGGACCUCGGGGACCCCGGCUUCGUCAACGUCGCCGGCAACGUCUCCGAGAUGAUGUCGCCGGAGUUCGCGGACAAGAUCCGGCGGAGGAUCGCCGACAACACCACCUUCCCUCCCGCCUACUACCUCGCAAAAUGGAGCCAGCUGCGUGACAACGGCACGAGCCACCUGUGCGUGGUGGACGGCGACCGGAACGCGGUGGCGAUGACGACUACGGUGAACUACUACUUCGGCGCGCACGUGCUGUCGCCGUCCACGGGCAUCGUGCUCAACAACGAGAUGGACGACUUCUCGGUGCCGUCAUCGAACCCGGCCCCGGACCAGCUCCCGCCGGCGCCGGCAAACUUCAUCGCGCCGGGGAAGCGCCCCCUCUCCUCCAUGACGCCGGCGAUCAUCCUGAGGGACGGGCAGCUCGCCGGCGUGGUGGGCGCGAGCGGGGGCACCAACAUCAUCACGGCGGUGACGCAGGUGUUCCUGAACCACUUCGUGGUGGGGAUGAGCCCCCUCGCGGCGGUGCAGAGCCCCAGGGUGUACCACAAGCUGGUGCCCAACGUGGUGCGGUACGAGGACGCCACGACGGCCGACGGCGAGGUGAUCGAGUUCAGCACCGAGGCCAUGGAGUUUCUGCGGCGUAGGGGCCACGUGCUGGAGAGCACGUCGCCCGGGGCCGUGUGCCAGUUGAUCGUGCAGGACUUGCUGGCGCCGGUCUCAGGUGGGGGCGGCGGCGGCGAGAACGUGUUCCGCGGGAUGCUGACGGCGGUGAGCGACCCGAGGAAAGACGGCAGCCCUGCCGGACUAUGA